GGGGAAUAUUGCACAAUGGGCGCAAGCCUGAUGCAGCCAUGCCGCGUGUAUGAAGAAGGCCUUCGGGUUGUAAAGUACUUUCAGCGAGGAGGAAGGUGUUGAGGUUAAUAACCUCAGCAAUUGACGUUACUCGCAGAAGAAGCACCGGCUAACUCCGUGCCAGCAGCCGCGGUAAUACGGAGGGUGCAAGCGUUAAUCGGAAUUACUGGGCGUAAAGCGCACGCAGGCGGUUUGUUAAGUCAGAUGUGAAAUCCCCGGGCUCAACCUGGGAACUGCAUUUGAAACUGGCAAGCUUGAGUCUCGUAGAGGGGGGUAGAAUUCCAGGUGUAGCGGUGAAAUGCGUAGAGAUCUGGAGGAAUACCGGUGGCGAAGGCGGCCCCCUGGACGAAGACUGACGCUCAGGUGCGAAAGCGUGGGGAGCAAAC
This 425-nucleotide ribosomal RNA is filed under the name uncultured bacterium. RNAcentral describes it as "bacterial SSU rRNA". It matches the Rfam family "Bacterial small subunit ribosomal RNA", at positions 356 to 773 of the family's 1533-position model. The record is from RNAcentral.